AUUGAACGCUGGCGGCAUGCUUUACACAUGCAAGUCGAGCGGCAGCGCGGGGCUUUGGGCAACUGAAGUUUUGGCGGCGAGCGGCGAACGGGUGAGUAACACAUCGGAACGUACCGACAAGUGGGGAGUAGCUCGGCGAAAGACCGGAUUAAUACCGCAUAUGCUGUGCGCAGGAAAGCUGGGGCUCUGUGAGGACCUGGUGCUUGUUGAGCGGCCGAUGUCCGAUUAGCUAGUUGGUGGGGUAAA
This 246-nucleotide ribosomal RNA is filed under the name uncultured bacterium. RNAcentral describes it as "partial 16S ribosomal RNA". It matches the Rfam family "Bacterial small subunit ribosomal RNA", at positions 30 to 261 of the family's 1533-position model. The record is from RNAcentral.